UCCUCAAUUCAUUCCCUCACAGCUUCUCCAGAUCUCCACGUUCGUUCAAGACAAAGCCCGUGGAAAUCACACAGAAACACCGCCUUCUGUUCGGAAAAAGAGAGAAGAGAUCGGCGAUGUCAAAGCCCGACCAUGAGUCCCUGAGCCACGAGGAGGCGAAGCGCAAUAAGAGGAUGAAGUGGACGAUCGGCAUCACUGCCUUCGUCAUCUUUCAGGUCGUCGUGGCCGUCUUCUUCGUCCUAGUCAUCAUGAAGUUCAAGUCCCCCAAGUUCAGGGUCGGCGAGUUCGACGUCCAGACCUUGAACGUCGGGACUCAGGCGUCGCCCUCGUUCGACAUGAGCUUCGUUGCUCCCAUCCGGAUCAAGAAUACCAACUGGGGUCCCUUCAAGUACGAUGCGACUACGGUGAGCUUCAUUUACGGAGGCGUUCAGGUAGGGCAAGCAACGAUUCCAAAGAGCAAGGCCAACUUCAAGUCCACCAAGAAGAUCGAUGUGAACGUGACCUUGAGCUCCACUAGCAGUUCGAAUCUAGGGAGCUCGGAACUCAUAACGUUGAACAGCCAAGGCGAGCUCAAAGGGAAGGUGACAGUUAUGUUCAUGUUCAAGAAGACGAAGGUGUCCCAGAUGAAUUGCACUAUGGCUGUCAAUACGACAACGAAGGCAAUCCAGUCCUUGUCAUGUAAAUAAGAGAUGCGAUGCGAGCAUGUGAUUUUUUAAAUUUUUUGAUAUGCCGGAUUGAGUUAUUCAUUUGAAUUUUGUAUUAGUAGAAAUGUUCAAUUUUUUUAGAUUAAUUUAUAUGAUGUUUACUAUGUGAGUAUUAUUCUUCAUUUAUUUGAAGUCAUUUUCGAAAUCGAUCUUACUACAUGAAGUGGAUGAGCAAACCCUAUCUCAUUCUCUAGUGGGGCCAUCAAACAAAUGGGUCAAUUCAGAAAUGAAAUCUUGACCCAUUUUUAUCUGGCUUGACCCGCACCCAAUCCAUAGUCAGACUGAACUAGGGCUAAAAUUCUUAGUAAUUUUUCUCCUUCAAUCAUUCCCUUUCUAAAGUGGAUGUCUCUAUGGAUUGGCUCACCCAUUUGGGGAGGGAGCUUGGGUUGGGUCGUGGGUAGGACUUUGAAUGGCAACCGAGGGCGUGUAUGAUAACCAUUAUAUUUCUAUUCUAGAACGAUUUUUCUGUUUCAGAUUUUUUUCUGGAAUAGAAAUCUAUUUAAUAACCUAAUUUCAUUUUUUCCAUUACUAGAACAAAUUUUUACUCCAGAAAUAUGUUUGGAACAGAAAUAAGAAGUAAAAUUUUUCUAUUUCUCUAUUUUUGGAAGAGAAAUGAGAAAUAAAAACUUUUUUUGUCGCUUGUCUUCGUUACUAGAUGGCUGUUGCUCCUCAACAUCUACCGCAGCUGUUGCCUCACUCACCUUGCCGCCGCCAGUCGUAGUCCACCGUCGCCCGGGAGGGAGAAAUUAUGUGUUGUUAUAAAACAAAUUUCAAUUUCGAAAAUAAAAAUUUUGUGUCAUAUCGAAUGUGUAUUUUUGUUCAAAAUCUCAGCCAAGAAUAUAAAUAGAAAAAUAUGUUUCUGUUCUAAAAAUCAAUUCUUAAUUAUAAUGGUUAUCAUUCGUGUCUUGAGCAACAAUGUGGGUGAGUGACGCACUGAUGUAUAAGCGGACAGGGCCAGGGAUUGGAUUACGGACCCGGGGAGGUGGGGUGUGUGAGAGGAGGCGAGGUAAAAGGUGGCAUAUCUCACUCGGAUGACGAGCAAGCCCUCGCUCUCGUGAACCAAUUUGCUUUCAGACAUUAGCCAACCACCGUGGCCUAAGUACAACUAUUGAUGGAUAUGCCACCAACGAUAGUUUAUCCUUGGAGUAGAGAGUUGGAAAGUAAGCAUCAAAUUAUUAGCACUCAUCAUUGGUUUAAUGUCUGAGAUUUAGAUCUGUUAAACUGGUGGUAUCUGAGAUUUAGAUCCGUUAAUAGGUGGGUUGGGAUAGAUUUGGGUUCAUCAAAAAAUAGGUUCAACAAAUUGAACCAUUUUUUGUAAUAUAAUUUUAGUGACAACACAUGACCCAACCCAUUUGACUAAAUCAAGCUACAAGACACAUUUCUUGUUAUCUCUUCUGGCGCGAACGAAUUCUUCUUUAAAAGAAUGCUAUUCUUUUACUUGUUUAUCCAUACGCCAUUGUGGUGUUUUCUAUAAUGCCUACAAGAAGAUUCUUUUGAUUAUAACAAUUUGCCAUGAACUGGACUGGUCUAGUUAUUAUCUCCCUAGAAAUUAAGAUGGUAAGAAACAGCAAUGUGACGGUCCAAGUAGGAUUUUGGGACAACUGCUUUCUUUGGCCAAAACGUAAAAACCUUUUAAGCCUUACCCUUCUUUCCUGGCAAGCAAAAUAGAGAACUGAGUAAUCGAAACAAUUUUCUUGUAUUGAAGAAGUAGAUAUAAAUCAUCUUUUUUCUGGAGUGAUUGGCAAAUUUAAAUGGGGAGGGAUUGGUAGCGGCAUAGAAUAUAGGCGGCCAAUUCGCAAAAGUGAUCUUGGCAAAGAUAUACUCACGAAAGAUAUAUCAACAAAAGGCCUAUCCAAACUAACGGCAAAACUAACAUUUAACCAACAUGAAAUGGCAGCUUGGUAGCCAUAUGUGGCGGCAGCGCUCUAUAUAGCGCAUUCUACUAUUCAUGUUACAACGAAAACAGGGUCGAAAUGAGUACAUAUUUUGUGUAUAUGUAGUUAACCAUUCAUUCUACGGGCUAUUCGAGCCCCUUCUUAAAAUGAUAGACGACCCAUUUCAAAGAAUCCGAGGAGAACUUUGAACAGUGAAAGGGGAGAAUCCGAACCUUCGUGUGUGAAAUUAAGACAAAAGGUAAUGAUCAUGCCAAUUCACUAACUUCUGCUGAUUAUAAAAAUAACAACGGUCACGCGGACAUGGCCAGCAUCGGCGGACGCGGACCUCGACUAUGUAUUAAUCAACACGAGAUUGACGAACGUUCUCUUCUUAACAAUCAUUAAAAAGACGAAGUUAACUGUUCCGUUUGCUAAGUUGACCAAACUUUAGAGUCCUCAAAAGUCAAGAAACUCAAGCUCUCUCUCUCUCUCUCUCUAUCUAUAUAUAUAUAAAAAGAUUAGAGAAACUCGCGUUCGUCUAGAAAGUUAGAAUUACAACAAUGGAUGACUUUUUGCGUGUGGACUAGAAUGAGAUCUUCAGGGAAGGAGACAGUGGUCGUGAAAAGUAGUCUUCCCGGAGGCACCGAAGUAUCUAUAUAAACGACCGCCUCCUCAAUUCAUUCCUCACAGCUUCUCCACAUCUCCAAAUUCUUUUAAGACAACACCAGUUACAAUCGCGCAAGAUACUGCCUUCUGUUCGGAAAGAGAGAAGAGAUCGGCAAUGUCAAAGCCCGACCACGAGUCGCUGAGCUAUGCCGACGAGGAGGCGAAGCGCAAGAAGAGGAUGAAGUGGACGAUCGGCAUCACCGCCUUCGUCAUCCUCCAGGUCGUCCAGGUCCUCUUCUUCGUCCUGGUCAUCAUGAAGUUCAAGUCACCCAACUUCAGGGUCGCCGAGUUCGAUGUCCAGACCUUGAACGUCGGGACUCAGGCCUCGCCCUCAUUCGACAUGAGCUUCGUCGCCCCUAUCCGGAUCAAGAACACCAACUGGGGUCCCUUCAAGUACGAUGCAACUGCAAUCGACUUCACUUACGGAGGCGUUCAGGUUGGGCAAGCGACGAUUCCAAAGAGCAAGGCCAACUUCAAGUCCACCAAGAAGAUCGAUGUGAGCGUGAGCUUGAGCUCCAGUGCUUUGACUAGCAGUUCGAAUCUGGGGAACGAAUUGAGCUCGGGACUCAUAACUUUGAACAGUCAAGGAGAGCUUAAAGGGAAGGUCACGGUCAUGUUCAUGUUCAAGAAGACGAAGACAUCCCAGAUGAAUUGCACAAUGACUAUCAAUACGACAACGAAGGCAGUCCAAUCCUUGUCAUGUAAAUGAGAGAUGCAGUGCGAGUGUGUGAUUUUUUAAAUUUUUCGAUAUGUGAAGUUGAAUUAUUCAUUUGAAUUUUGUAUUAAUAGAAAUGGUAAAUUUUUUAGAUUAAUUUAUACGGUG
This 4067-nucleotide long non-coding RNA is filed under the name Eucalyptus grandis. RNAcentral's name for it is "long non-coding RNA (EGRA_LNC006042)". The record is from RNAcentral. Lineage: Eukaryota; Viridiplantae; Streptophyta; Magnoliopsida; Myrtales; Myrtaceae.